CCGGUCCGCCUCACCGCGAGUACUGGUCCGGCUGGGCCUUUCCUUCUGGGGAACCUCAUGGCCUUCACUGGCUGUGGGGGGAAACACGAGUUUUACUGUGAAAAAAUUAGAGUGUUCAAAGCAGGCCUUUGCUCGAGUACAUUAGCAUGGAAUAAUAGAAUACGACGUGCGGUUCUAUUUUGUUGGUUUCUAAGACCGCCGUAAUGAUUAAUAGGGAUAGUCGGGGGCGUCAGUAUUCAGCUGUCACAGGUGAAAUUCUUGGAUUUGCUGAAGACUAACUACUGCG
RNAcentral lists this ribosomal RNA (286 nucleotides) under uncultured eukaryote. RNAcentral's name for it is "partial 18S ribosomal RNA". The stretch from base 91 to 286 matches the Rfam family "Eukaryotic small subunit ribosomal RNA", at positions 750 to 947 of the family's 1831-position model. The record is from RNAcentral.